AUACACUUAUUCUCUGUCUAGGUCUAUUAUUUGACCUUAAACCAAUCAUUUAAGAUUUUAAUAAUUUUCUAAUUUCUCGGGUUGUCACAGCUGCGAUAACGUCCAACCUCCUCGAAAGUUCUUCAAUCUGUGCUGACAUUGCGGAAAGUGUCGCGAGUCUGUCAAUCUCCGCUCCCCUUGGCUGAGUCAUUCUUGCCAUCCUUCGACUCCCUUGGGUUGCGAUAACCUCCAACGUCUUCGAAGUUGCCUCACUUUGUAUUGGCUCUAUAGAAGAUGUAUUAAGUCCAUCAUUCCAUGUUUCCCUUGGUUGAGUCAUGUUCGUGUAUGGCCAUUAAUACGUAAAGUCAUCCAUGGUACCUGAAAAGAGAGAAAUAUAAGAAGAGAAUUAAAAAUAAAACUAAAAAUGUUUAAAUUAAGACUAAUUUGAUUGAAGUUAAUAUUGGUAAAAAAUAUUAAACUAAUUCCCCGGCAACGGCGCCAAAAACUUGUUGGGUAAAAUCUAGUUACGCACAACAUGCAAGUAUACGUGGUCAACAAGUAAUAAAGUGAUAAGUUGAGUAUCGUUCCCAUAGAGAAUUAGUUAAUAAAAAUUACCAAGUACUAACCCGUAACCAACUCAAUCUUAUUUAAACGAAUGAAUUUCAAAUUAUAUGAAUUAAACUGCUAUUAAAUUCCACUAAUUAAAUUAAGACUACGGAGAUUUAAGAUCACAACUUCACUUAUUGCUUCAUUUAAGUUAACACACUUCUCAUCAAUUAUUCUCUAUCCCGAAUUGUUAAUCAAGAACACUAAAGUAGUAUUUGUGAGAGCCCCGAAUCUGGGCCCCAAAUCACCGCGGAUCCGGUUCACUCAUUCUACUACUAUUGCGGAAGAUAUAAACAUAAAUUGUUUAUACAUUAAACAUUAUACACUAUACCAAGGUCGAGUAACCAUACCUUAUACACAAUUUAUAACUUAUCUAACACAUGACCUCAUUAUCAUACAAGACUAUUACAAAACUAAUCGCGCACAUUAACUUUAAGCUGGAACUGUCUUUAACUUUCCUUGUAUCCGACACAUUCACCUUAAUCUUCAAUGUUUUAUCAUGAUAUAGCAAGGGUGAGCAUGAAAGUUGCCCGACAAGUUUAAAUACAAUUUAAGGAUAUAUCAUGAUUGAAAGAGUAUGAAUAAUAAGCUGGCUAUAAUUGACAAUGUAGUGGUGAAUUAGCAUGAACAAAACUUUUGACUGAACAAGUAUUACAUAUGAACAAUAUAUAUAUAUCCGGACCAAUUGGUAAUGAAGGUGAUCAGCCUUUCAUACCUGACUUAUACGUGCAAUAUAUACAGAGUACAAUUCAACAUGGCAAUCAGCAAUGAUUAACUAUAUGCAUAUCUGAAUAAAACAUUCUUAGUAGAGUUAAGUAGAACUUGCCUGAACCGUUGAUUACCGAUACGAAAUAUAACUUAGCUUAUC
RNAcentral lists this long non-coding RNA (1453 nucleotides) under Panax ginseng (ginseng). RNAcentral describes it as "long non-coding RNA (PGIN_LNC017510)". Lineage: Eukaryota; Viridiplantae; Streptophyta; Magnoliopsida; Apiales; Araliaceae. The record is from RNAcentral.